AAUGCUCGCAAGAGUGAACUAGCUAACUGAAAUCACUAAUUGAUCUUAUCAAUGUGAUAUAGUAAGGGAAAACAAAUGAUAUUACUUUACUUAUAGUGUUGUCUAAUUCUGGUGCCAGAAGACUCGGUAAUACCAGUAACGCGAACGUUAGUCAUCUUUAUCAGGCGUAAAGGGUUUGUAGGCAGCUUUUAAAAAAAAAUUCUUAACUAUAUUGUCCUUUUUUAUUCUUUUUUUUUAUUAAAAAAAAAGACAAAAAAGGAAUAAAUAGUGAAGUCUCUAAUUUGAGAGCUAGAAUCAAAUAGAAGUUAAAAAGUAUAAUACUUAGAGAAGGGUUGAUAUUCUUAGAACCUAAGGGGAAUACUAAAGGUGUAAACAACUAACUAUAAAUGAUUGACGCUGAGACACGAAGGUGAGGAUAGGAAAUAGGAUUAGAUACCCCGGUACCCCUCUCUGUAAACGAUGAAUGGUAGUUAUUAGUGUAUUACUGGUAACGAAGCUAACGCGUUAACCAUUCCGCCUUGGGAGUACGAUUGCAAAGUUGAAAACAAAAAAAUUAGUCGGUCUCGGAGCAAACGGAGUGAAGC
This 584-nucleotide ribosomal RNA is filed under the name Fomitopsis subpinicola. Its description in RNAcentral is "partial small subunit ribosomal RNA". It matches the Rfam family "Bacterial small subunit ribosomal RNA", at positions 370 to 940 of the family's 1533-position model. The record is from RNAcentral. Lineage: Eukaryota; Fungi; Basidiomycota; Agaricomycetes; Polyporales; Fomitopsidaceae.